Formica exsecta is the source of this 1823-nucleotide long non-coding RNA. RefSeq lists it as uncharacterized. The record is from RefSeq and is a predicted model, not a curated record. The transcript has 3 exons. Lineage: Eukaryota; Metazoa; Arthropoda; Insecta; Hymenoptera; Formicidae.
GGAGCGUUAGUGACCUUAUCGCGAUUGCUGGGUGUGUAGUAUGCCUCAGUGGACGUUGAUUGUUUGGGAUAGUAGGGGUCAUAUUCCAGUUCAUUUGGCACCAAUGGCUUUAAGGAGAGCGUCAAAGCAUGUACAGAAGAGAAGAAUUUGCAAUCGGCUCGAAUGAACGAUUAAGAUGCACGGCACUUUUGUCUCGCGCGAAAGCGCGAGUCUCCAAUGAUGACGAAGAAACUUCUUCAGUGUAAACAGUGACGACGAAUAGAGCGCAUAGUAGAAAGUAAGGUUGUAAAAUCCAAUAGAACACCAUUUUUUGUGAAAAGUUAGAAUUACUAAAGAAUAUUACACAAGAGAGUUCGAUUCUCCGUAAAAAGUAUAAUAAGAGUACCGCUCCCAGCAUCUAGAAGAUCUCUACUUUGUGAUAGAAGAAGUUCAAGUGAAAGUAUCGCGAGGAUGAGUCUAUGACUCUCCUAGUCCUCCCUUCUCUUUCCAUUCUUUAACUCCCUCUCUUUACCUUUUUUCCUGACAAUCUACUUGACAUAUCCUACGCAUCCUGUCUUUAUUACCUAUUGCUAUAUGCAUUUGCAAAUAAACGCGCACAAUCGACUCAUGUUGCAAAUCAAAAUCAAUAAGAAGCCAAAUUACUGCAGUAAACGUCAGUAUACACACACACAAAACUCAAUAUGUAUAACAUAUAUUUAUCUUGAACGUUAAAAAAUUUAAAGUUUGAUCGUAAGACUUAGAUUGCACAAACUAUUUAAUAAUUUCAAAAUUCCGGGACAGUAGUGUGUUAAUGCUGUCAAAUUACUACGCAAUGUGCAUUAAAUUAAUUUUUUAGUUUAUCUAUUGUUAUGUACAAUUCACACACAAUUUGCUUAAAGGAAUGGCGACAUACUUUGGCUGAAAAUUAAUGUGAUUCUAAAAUAUGUUUUAAUGUAAAUACUUGUAUAAUAUUUAGUACUUGUAUAAUUACUUCUAUAAUAUUUAGUUUAGAAUUAUACAAGCUUUAUCCUUAAAGAACAUUGCGUAGAAAAAGGAAAACAAAAAUUUUACUUAUAACAUAUCUUAUACAUCAAAAAAUAAAAAUUAAGCUGUGUAAUACACCUCAAUAGUUUUUUAUUCAUGACAUCUAUAAAUACUCUAGGCCCUAGGCAUAUUGGCAUUUCUUCCAUUUAACAAAAAUAAUUACAGUAAAAAAUUUGAUAUCAAAUCGAUGAUAUAUAAGACAACCACCAAAGCAUUGAUAUAUUGGUAGAAAUGUCUUCGAAAUUUAUGUGAAUUAUGUUUUUCUUUUUGGAUACAUAGUAAUAUCAAUAUUUAUCAUUAUAGGAAAUAUAGGUCUAAUUAAUUUUUAAUAGGCAAUUUGUAAACAUUAGGAUUAUAAAAAUUUACAUUAUAAGUUAGGCUCGGAAGUUUUUCUUUGUUUUAAAACUGCAUAAAUUGGUCUGUGCUUUUAUUAACAUGGCGGUUUGUUUAUUACAGAGAAAGAGAAAAAUGCAAAAGCUUUGGAUUUUGUAAGAUUUUUAUCAUGAUAAUCAGAAUUUGUUUUAAUAUCAUUUGAUUGACUUCCAAACCUUAAGUAUAGAAUUAUCAAAAAUUUGUUAUAUUUUUAACGCGCGAGAAAGAGUUUCCAGCAUACUCUUCCACUCUUUCGUAAGCGCUCUAUUAACAUAUAAACAUUUAUCCCAUCUUAAUAUUUGCUUAUGCAUUUGUGAUGACACUUGUUGUACAUUGGAAUCAUCUUCUGUCUCAGAGUUUAUCUUAUUAUAAAAAGAUAUGCUGAAACAUUUGUUUAUCCGUGUAAUAAAUUGUAAUUAUUUCUACCA